CCCUUUGUGAACAAUUCUUGUUGCUUCGGGGGCGACCCUGCCCGCUCACGCGGUCCUGGCGCCCCCGGAGGCCUUUAAACACUGCAUCAAUGCGUCGGAGUUUAAGUAAAUUAAACAAAACUUUCAACAACGGAUCUCUUGGUUCUGGCAUCGAUGAAGAACGCAGCGAAAUGCGAUAAGUAAUGUGAAUUGCAGAAUUCAGUGAAUCAUCGAAUCUUUGAACGCACAUUGCGCCCUGUGGUAUUCCGCAGGGCAUGCCUGUUCGAGCGUCAUUUCACCACUCAAGCCUCGCUUGGUAUUGGGCGCCGCGGCUCGCCGCGCGCCUCAAAGUUUCCGGCUGAGCCGUUCGUCUCUAAGCGUUGUGAUACAUAUUCGCUUCGGAGUGCGAACGGUCCCACGGCCGUUAAAUCUUUCACAAGG
Molecule: unclassified non-coding RNA, 420 nt
Filed under: Mycosphaerellaceae sp. Iso71
Lineage: Eukaryota; Fungi; Ascomycota; Dothideomycetes; Mycosphaerellales; Mycosphaerellaceae
Description: sequence contains ITS1, 5.8S rRNA gene, ITS2
Rfam family: 5.8S ribosomal RNA (bases 119-272)
Source: RNAcentral